AUGAGGAGGGACAGACAGAAGAUGAGGAGGGACAGACAGAAGAUGAGGAGGGACAGACAGAGGAUGAGGAGGGACAGACAGAAGAUGAGGAGGGACAGACAGAAGGUGAGGAGGGACAGACAGAAGGUGAGGAGGACAGACAGAAGGUGAGGAGGGACAGACAGAAGAUGAGGAGGACAGACAGAAGGUGAGGAGGGACAGACAGAAGAUGAGGAGGGACAGACAGAAGGUGAGGAGGACAGACAGAAGGUGAGGAGGGACAGACAGAAGGUGAGGAGGGACAGACAGAAGGUGAGGAGGGACAGACAGAAGAUGAGGAGGACAGACAGAAGAUGAGGAGGGACAGACAGAAGGUGAGGAGGGACAGACAGAAGGUGAGGAGGACAGACAGAAGGUGAGGAGGGACAGACAGAAGGUGAGGAGGGACAGACAGAAGGUGAGGAGGGACAGACAGAAGGUGAGGAGGACAGACAGAAGAUGAGGAGGGACAGACAGAAGAUGAGGAGGGACAGACAGAAGGUGAGGAGGACAGACAGAAGAUGAGGAGGGACAGACAGAAGGUGAGGAGGACAGACAGAAGGUGAGGAGGACAGACAGAAGGUGAGGAGGGACAGACAGAAGGUGAGGAGGACAGACAGAAGGUGAGGAGGGACAGACAGAAGGUGAGGAGGGACAGACAGAAGGUGAGGAGGGACAGACAGAAGAUGAGGAGGGACAGACAGAAGGUGAGGAGGACAGACAGAAGGUGAGGAGGGACAGACAGAAGGUGAGGAGGGACAGACAGAAGGUGAGGAGGGACAGACAGAAGGUGAGGAGGACAGACAGAAGGUGAGGAGGCUCUGAAGGUUUCUUAUUGUGAUGUUUGUUUCUGAUGUGUAACUGAAGGCUCUCCUGUGGGAGCCACC
Molecule: long non-coding RNA, 905 nt
Organism: Dicentrarchus labrax (European seabass)
Lineage: Eukaryota; Metazoa; Chordata; Actinopteri; Moronidae
Exons: 10
Source: RefSeq, a predicted model, not a curated record